This 712-nucleotide long non-coding RNA is filed under the name Homo sapiens (human). Its description in RNAcentral is "MYO3B antisense RNA 1". The record is from RNAcentral. Lineage: Eukaryota; Metazoa; Chordata; Mammalia; Primates; Hominidae.
AGAUCAGCCCUGGGGUUCAGAGGGAUCCUGACAGCUACUCCUCAAGAUCCUCUCUGUUGUGAUUCAUCCCCCCGGGGCCCUACAGUUUCUCCUUCCUGACUCUUACAUUUCUUUGGAUGGCAUCAUUAUUUUAGGUGCCAAGCACUGUGGAUUCUGCCUCUCAGUGUCCAGACACCCAUUUUCCUUCCCACUGUUCCUUCCCCAUGGAGAAGCCUGUGGCUGGCUGACAGCAGAGAGAGAUGCUCAACUUGGAGAAGGUGUUACCUGGGCCAGGUGGGGAAGGUUUGUUUGCAGAGCAAAGAAGUGAAGCCUAUUCAACGUGAAAAAGAUGAGGAUGAAGACCUUUAUUAUGAUCCACUUCCAAGUAAUGAACACACUGGAGAAAGUCAGACAGUCAAAACAAUGUCCCAGACUCCGUGAAGUUCCUGGGUAGAGAAGGAGACAGACAUAUACCAUACCUAAUAAUUGGAUGUCCGAGAGAAUGAGAGAAUGGCAGAAAGAACUUUAGAGCAUGGGUAUGAUGGCUAGAGCUUGAGCAGCCAUUGUGGACAUCAGAUGAACUUGAAAGUGAAAACUAUGAGCUGAAUACGACAAAGCAAACAGAUAGAAAACUGGAUUCAUUAUGACAUUGCAAAGCUGCCAGACCAGCUCUAGUCUGCUUCCCCCUAAUCUUCCUUACUAAGAGAGAGAAAUAAACUUCCAUCUUCUUCAA